RNAcentral lists this long non-coding RNA (292 nucleotides) under Coffea arabica (coffee). RNAcentral's name for it is "long non-coding RNA (CARA_LNC000004)". Lineage: Eukaryota; Viridiplantae; Streptophyta; Magnoliopsida; Gentianales; Rubiaceae. The record is from RNAcentral.
CACUUGACCGAAAGCUAGCCCAACUAACUAUAGAUCAUAAGCUUCGGUGGCGUUGCCCCCGAACCCCCACCGGGGGCUUCGCUGCGCCCCCGGGCCCCCAAGCCAGGGGCGCGUCGCCCCCUUGGACCCCCGACUCGCUGAUCGGACAGCGAGACCCCCGUACGGCUCAGCGAGGGUACUUAACUGCGGCUAAGCCCGCCGUUUGGAGCUUGAACAUUUGCAUCUUCAAUUGUAAGCAGCAUUUUAGUAGUCGUGCAAGGAUAUUCCAACUCAAUUCCUUCAAUGACCGGUU